GAGAAAUCGUGCGGGCGUGCGGGGGAAUCGGUGCGUUCGUUUUUCUUUCAGUUAGGACAUCCGCAAGCCACGGGACUGAGCAGUCAUGGCUCGUGGUCAGCAGAAGAUCCAGUCACAACAGAAGGCUCAGGCUAAAGGUGCAGCUCUGAAGAAACAGGCUGGUCACAAUCUGAAAGAUCAGAAGAAAGCUGCAGCUGCUGGCUUGUCAUUUAACUGUGACAUUUGUAAGUCUCAAAUGCCAGACCCAAAGACCUACAAACAGCACUUCGAGAGCAAGCAUCCGAAGAGCCCUCUUCCAGAGGCACUCAAGGAUAUAUAGUGUGACAGCCUCACCAGCUGAGCUGUGACACCAGACAGCGCUGGUGUGACUGCUGGUGGUACUAACGAACAUGGAGCGGUUUUCCCGCGCCGCUUGUUGCGUUCCGGGUAUGUGAUGGUUAGUGACAUCUCAGACGCCAGUCACUUGCUAUCACUUGUCAUUGAUGUUAUAACUCACACGCGGCUGGUUUAGUGUGUUUCCAUUGGGCGUUCGUGAUAAGCCUUUAGGCACUCACUGGCGGAAAUGUGUGAAGUUUGGGUCCAAAAGAUGUCCGCGGGACACGUGGUGUUUCCAGGAACACUGGUACGCUUGGUCGCCGCGUGCUGUCCAAGGAUGCAGCGCUGGGUUGACAGUGUUUAUACUAAUAUGAUUUGUGCGCUCGGUAGGUAAACGGAGAGGUUCGUGUUGAUCUGGUGCACGGUGCGGCAAUGCCUGGGCGUCGAUAGCUUGGAUUUCACUUUUCCUCGCUAACAGCCUGCUGACGUGUGGUUGACGUUGCCCUGUGUUCAGUGUCUACCCGUGUGUGCCACGGUUUGCGGCCACUCGUGUGCGGUUGUUCUUUACACUUGUAGGCCCAGAUUUUAAGGAUUUGGGAAAUAAACAUGGUGACCGGUU
Long non-coding RNA from Pollicipes pollicipes, 934 nucleotides. RefSeq lists it as uncharacterized. The record is from RefSeq and is a predicted model, not a curated record. The transcript has 3 exons. Lineage: Eukaryota; Metazoa; Arthropoda; Thecostraca; Pollicipedomorpha; Pollicipedidae.